Molecule: transfer RNA, 71 nt
Filed under: Marmota monax (woodchuck)
Lineage: Eukaryota; Metazoa; Chordata; Mammalia; Rodentia; Sciuridae
Description: tRNA.Ala
Source: RNAcentral
GAGGUUGCGCCUCAGCGGUAGAGUGCUUGCCUAGCACAUGAGAGGCCCUGGGUUCAAUCCUCAGCACCACA